AUGAAGAGGGAGAUGGGAGUAGGUGCAGUUUAUAAGAGGGUCCGUAUCAUAUUUCUAUCGCCAUACUAACAGAGGCUGAUGCGCCUCCACGCGCUAUUGGCUCAGGGGAAUUUCCAUUUGAUGCCGGAAAUGGACGUGGCAAGAUGACAAAUUAAAGAUGGGUUUCCUGUUUCAAAUCUAUUCAAGAUAUCAACAGUCAGUUGGCUUCUGACCCUUUUCCUCCAGCUCUCUCUCUCUCUAAUGUCCCGAUAGCGCUCUUGGGGGCUCUGCAGGAUAUCCCCUUCAAAAUCAAAUGGCCCGGGGCAGACUUCACCCUGUCAACUUCAGGAGGCCUGUACAAAGAUGACUCUGUCAUCAUGACAACUGCAGAAAAAGAAAAGUACAAAUGUGUAUUGCCAUCUUUAUCCAGCAACCAGGAGGUGUUGUUAUGCAUGGCCAAAUUUUUAGUUAUUAACAGAUCGAGUCAUACUGGACAUAUAAAGUGUGCCACGGGAAGCAUGUACGGGAGUACCAUGAAGACAAGGAGACGGGGCAGAAGAUCAACAUUCAGGAAUACUAUCUGGGUACCAUGAAUAAUUAGCACCAGGUGCCAGAUUAACACUAAUAAAUUGGGUCGUAUCUCACUUUUAUGGCCAUGGAGAUGUUUGACCUAACUGGGAAACUGAGACAGGUUCUAGUCAAACUCAAGUGUAAGGAGUCAGAGUCUCCUCAUGCUGUUACAGUUUACAUGCUGGAACCUCAGACCUGUCAGUAUGUUCUUGGGGUUGAGUCGCCUAUAAUAUGCAAGAUCUUGGACACUGCAGAUGAAAAUGGAUUUCUUUCAAUCCCUAGCUAGCCUAAACAGAGGAAUACAUUUUGGUUCAGAGAAUGAACAAUACAGAAGAGGAAGGCAGUAUGACUGUCAGAGGGAGAGAUAAAGGUCUGAUAAAGUCUAGUUCCAUAGAUCAUGGUGGUGAUAUGGACUUGCUGAACCCACCCUUUGAGGAAGUCCCUCACUUUCUCUUGAAGACUAAACAAGGAGGAGAUUUGAUGUAACUUUUAUUAACCUGGAGAUGCAGCUAGGACUGAAUCUUCAAUGUUUUAUUUAGAAAUCUCAAACCUGUUGAAGAAUAUUUUUGGUCAGCUUUUUUAUAGUUUGGCACAUUUAAAUGGUUUGCUUUGGGAAAAUCACUUUAAAAUCUAAUCAAAUGAUUAAUUUGUUCUGUUAAUCAACUGAUUAUACAAGCUGGUCAGCUGUUUUUAAAUAUACAGUAUUUAUUUGAUAACUUCUGGUAGUUCAGUGCUUGCCAUCAUCACUGUGCAUAUGAAAAUGGUUAUAUUGUUUUUAAAGUGAUAGAAGUAGUAAUGGUGCAAUGCAAACUGCAAGGGAAAAUACAUGUCUUGUAUGCAUCUUUAUUUUUUUGGCAAUCAUGGGUCAUUAAUUUAUGUUCACAAUUUGUGAUUAACCUCUGUCAACCAUUGCUGGUUCUUUCUCAGCCUGUACAUGUUCAGAUGAAUAAAAUGAGUUUCAUGUUUCAA
Molecule: long non-coding RNA, 1518 nt
Organism: Carassius auratus (goldfish)
Lineage: Eukaryota; Metazoa; Chordata; Actinopteri; Cypriniformes; Cyprinidae
Exons: 6
Source: RefSeq, a predicted model, not a curated record